Molecule: long non-coding RNA, 15174 nt
Filed under: Zea mays
Lineage: Eukaryota; Viridiplantae; Streptophyta; Magnoliopsida; Poales; Poaceae
Description: long non-coding RNA (ZMAY_LNC003837)
Source: RNAcentral
GACGUCCAAAACAUGUGAUCCUAGACUUUUUAGAAAGCUAAUAAAAUUGUCUACAACUCAUUUAUAAUCAUCUCCAGUUAAUUCAAUGCGUAGAAAGGUCAGUUAACACAAACAGUCUCUUCUGUCCAGAUUUGGACAGAUUCAGACUUCAUAUUUCAAACAGCCAUAACUUGACUUCUAGACCACCAAAAAGGGUGCUCCAAAAUUUGUUGGAAAGCUUAAGAAAAGUACUACAAUUCUCCUAUAAUUACUAAGAGCUGAUUCUCAAUUUAACUUAGCCAAACAAUCCAAUUUCCGGAACCUGUACAGAAUUUAGACAGAUUCUAAAACUGGACCUGGAAAAAUCAUAACUCUCAAACUACUAGACCUAUGACCAUGAUAUUUUUAUACCAGUAAGAUGAAGAAGUUAUCUACAUCUUUUAUAUAUAACACAUUCACAGAAAACUUGGUUUACUUUACUAAACUAACUGCUUACGUAAAACUGGUAAUGCAGCAUUAAACAGCAAGCAUCACACAUGUUCUUAAAACUUAGAAUUCUCUAGUACUUUAUUAUAAAUUAAAGCUAAGAUCACCUACUUAAUUACACUAUACAUAUACAUAUUCACCCAAGUAUAUUCCACAUAAUAUAUCAUCACAAAAAGAACUCGUCUUAAUCAUACUACACAUAUACCUAAAGAAUUUACUCUCCUUUGACAUGUUCAUUCACCAACUAUCACACAUGUGGACAACAAUGAAUCUGAAAGUCGACACACCAUAUGCUUGCGCUACAAACAAGAAAAUCAUCGACCACAACUCUAAUCAAUACAACGAUCAAAUUAACUAAAUAGAGUAGCGAAUAGGCUCACCAAUUCACAAACCGACCCGAAGAUCCGCGAGAAAGGCGAGGUUCCCGGUUCGGACCUUCCAUCGAACACUUGGCAAACGUCGCACGGACCUCACUUCUUUACCGGUUAACUCCCUCAUCAACACACACAAUUCACACAUUAGUAAUCGACGUCGAGCACUAAAGCGACAGGGCAAGAACAGAACCUCACCGGGGGUCGACGGUGUCGCAGGUGGGGCUACACACAACACAAAACUCCUCAUGGUCAUUUCGUCGAGCACCAGAGAGAUGGUGCAAACACCAGUAGAAAGGGGCUGGAUGAGCACCAUGUGCCAUAGGAGAGGCUGAGUGCUUGCAGCAGCAGGGCCGAAGGGGAAGCUGUGGCUGGGGCAGGGGCGAGGUCGGUCACCAAGGAGAUGGCUGGGGCAGCGACGGCUAUGGAACCUAGCAGGGGCAUCGAGUAAAGGGGCUGGCAUCCAGGGCACCAUGGAAAAACUCGGCUAGGGCUUGAGGGAGGAGGGCAGAGAGCUGCUGGCGAGCUGGACUGAGGGCAGGCGCUAAAACUUGUGCUCGCAGAGGUGAUGAGGGAUGGAGAUAAGGCCGACAGGCAACAUGGAGACGUGCGUCCAGCUCUUGAAAAGAUAAUGCCGACAACGGAUAAACUAGAAGCUAGAAACGAUGGGAUAAGUCUAGAGGAAGAUAAGGACGUGUGGGAGUAAGACAUGCCGCUUCAGGGAUUUUGGCCACGUAAUAGUAAUGCUGGCGGUGGAUGAAAUUUCCAAGGAAAUCAAGGAACAUACGAGAGACACUUUCUGGGAGCCAUUGUUUAUGUAGGAUGAGGAUUAGUUGAAGAUGGACACUUAGAGGUAAGAAAAUUCAGAUUUUCCUUCUCCAAUCUUUAACCAAUAGAAUACCCCAAAUAAGUGAAAAUCUGGGAUUUGAAUCCGAGCGAGAUGCAAACAGACCCAUCAAAACAAAAUCAAUUUUAAUGUUUUUAGACUACACUAACACUGGUAGGUAUUUUUGGGAUCAGACAAAUUUCCACAGUUGUAGACAGUGGAACAGAUUAAUUACGAAUACUCAGUUCGGUUUUAAUUAUCGUGGUCCAAUUAAAUCUCGCAUCAACGCCCUUGUCGCCGAGCUUCUAAUAAAAUUUACUCGGGUAAAAAAUCACAAGAGUGGGUCGAGAUUCCAAAUUAAUGUUUCCUUUAUCAAUAAAUUUUUAAACAGACACAAGACUCGACAUUUCGAAAAUAAAUACGCGAGAUCGAUAUGGCAUCGAACUUGUGAUCCUUUCAAAAGCGACGACACACAUCGUUUACGUGGGCGAGAGGUUGUGCGCUGUCCAGACACCGGUUAAUGCUCGCCACACGUCACAAUGCCAGACCGCAGAGGGACGCGCACGACGCAGGCGCGAGAGAAUUAAAAAAAUGGAUUCUACAGAACCAGAUCCGAUUUCAAAGGUUAGAGUUUGGGCAAGACGUCGAUGGCUCAACCCAAACGAUAUUGGAUCUGAUGUUUCGGAAGAUUACUAAAGUCUGAAUUUUUGCAAACUAAAUUAGGACAAUUUAAACAUAUGGAGACAAACACGAUAUCAAAAUCGUGAUAGACAAAGAUGAUUAAAAAUUUAGUGACAUUUACAUUCACCGCUAUCAUGUGUUAACGUCCGCACUCGUGGUCAAGAAGACGACAAACACCUGGGGUGUUACAGCCUUCCCCCCUUAAAAGAAUCUCGUCCCGAGAUUCAGAACGAAAGACUUCUAAGAGUAGAGAGGCAUAUAACCCUAUCCAUAAUAGUGAUAGCAUAAGCUAAUUCCAAGCAAAGACGAUUAUCUCAAGAUCUCAAGUGAGUGUAGCAUGUAUCAUCUUUAUGCUAAUUAGAGAUGCCAACAAUAGAGACGAUGAUUGGCAGAAGAACACCUAAGGUUCCAUGUGUGCAGUUUGCUUUUCCUGAUAACACUGUAAUAUCUGAGUCUGGUGGGCGAGCGGUAGAUAUACGACUUUACCCAAACAGAACCAGAUGCAACCUCUUGGGUAAAUCACACAGAAAGAGGUUUACCAACAAGUGGUCACAGUAAGUUCAUAGCACACUAGACGGGUGUGAAUGUCGAAUAACAUCACAGUUAACUCGUGUUAGCCAGAAAAUCCAAGUCCAAUGAUGCUAAUGGAGACUCAAGGAAACAUCAGUGAAGAUUAUCAACAACUGUUGGCUUCACAAUCAAUCCACUUUUUUGAGCACUAAGCAUGACUCGACCUGAUCACAUAUGCUGGAAAAGCACACGUGAGUCGAUCAAGGCACGACUAGAGCGAUAAUUAGGUGACUAUCAGUCGAUUUUAACUUGAUCUUUGUAAGAACUUUCUUAGGAUGGGUUGAACCAAAGUGAGUUUAGCCAACUCGACAAAACGAUCUCUAAACUCAACCUUUGUUCAUAGGGCAGUUACAAGUUAGUAAAACCAACUUGUUGAACUACUUUUGAUAUUGAGCAGGUCCUCUCAGUACCACCGGUAAGCCAAGGGUUGAGAGUUCACUCUUAUUAACAGUUGAUCAUGCAUUUGGGCAGGAAUCCAUUUGGUCGGUUGUUCAUCCGUUUCUUCUAUACAAGAUGAACCGACUUGGUUAGGGAAUACAUGGAUUGAAUAAAAGAGCGAAUGAACAAACUCCUGCAUUUCAGUGGCAGGGGAAGCAGAUCUCCAUUUUGAGAGCUAAUCAGUUGUUUUCCAACACUAAAAAGCUCCAAGGCUUCACCUUUACACAAAGGACGUAAAGGGAACUUGUAUGAGUAGUCACUACCAAGAUCAAAAGGAAAGAGACCACACAUGAAAGUGGUAUGCUCUUUUUAUCCAACAGAGAUGAUAGAUGUUGCUUGAUCAUUUGACAAACAACAUAGAAAUUGUUUCAAGGGAGGAGUCCACGGAAGAUCACACAUCAGUGUAGUUCCACAAUGGAUCAUGACCAGAGACCUUGAUACCAGCAUCCGACGAGUAGCACAAUCCUGUGUGCGCAUUCAUAGGAGGCUCUCAAUUUCGCUGCGGCACCAUGAGUCCUUAAUCGUGUCACCAUUACCGAACAAGGGUAUGGUUUAGGAUGAACAUAUGACCAUAAGAGAGCUACAAGUGGAUUGUCAAGAUUACAGACUUGAGAUCCUUGUUUUUAAGUUUGAGUGCAUCUUAGGUCCAAUAAGGGAAUUACCUAAACAUCUAUUUGUAUUUGCAUGAGUUUGGCCAUGGAGUAGGAAUCGAUAAUUCAAACUCAUGCAUAUUUUGAAGAUUUAUAGGGACUUUGAAGAAAUGACAAAAUUAUGAAUUAGAUCUCAUACAAUUUCAAAUAUUGAGAUGAUGAGGACAUGACUUGAUCUAAUUGCUAGAACUCCAAAGACCUCGUGAAGAAAAUGAUCUUCACACAAGAUGACACCUAGGAUAAGUUGUCAAGAAAUUAAUACACGUUUAGAUCAAGUUUACUAAACAAGGACAUAGCUUAGCUUUGGGUUUACGCAAACAAACUAUCAACAUUCUACCGGCACACAGGCACAAAAAUAAACAUAAGUUGCACUAUCGGUCAAACUAAGAAGAACCACAGACCACAUAAACACAUGUCUAAAGGACACAUCAAACAAAGCUAGAAAUUGCUUAUAGGACAGUAAUGCUUCACACAUUUUCCAAUUAUUUAUUAUCGAAAUAAAGAUGAGGGAAGCACGUUCGUUCACAAUCACCAAUUAUCAGAAUAAGGGUGAGAAAAGUAUAUUUGUGCACAAACAACAAACACAAUGCAAUAAUCAGGAUGCAUGAUCGUCUUAUUCGUCCUCACGAAUUUUGCCAACAUAAUGUGGCAAUAGCGUUCUAUAUCGGUGGCAUAUCUACGUUCUCUCUCGGUAUAUUGCUAGUCGUCAGCUACACAUACGUUUCGAAGUUAGUGUACCUGCAGAAAAUUCCAUCACAGCCCAUUUCCCAAUGAUGCAAUUCACACAUGACAGUUUAUCUCAGUAUAUACUCCAUAUAUUUCUAUAUGGAGGCCAGCUCUUCAUUAAGCGCCGAGCCACGCAUAGGCGCCGCUGCCACACUUUAACCAUAGGGCAGCUCAUUAUGGUAACUCACCUUUUUACCUAAGCGUAGGUGCGUCGUUGCGAGUACAUUACACUUCUCAGUAUUCCCAUGUCUGCAUACCCAUACACAUCCAUGGGGUACUGAAUCCCAGAAAAUUAAAUACUCCACAUCGCAGCCUUCAUAUAUACAUAUGUAAAAUAUGUAUAUAAUCAAGCGUUGUUUAUGCUCUCCCCUAGACCGACGUUUGUCCGGUCACGCUCUCACAUCUCACCUUACUGAAUGGCCUCAAAAACAACAUUACACAUGUAUGCAUCACCCUUCCCAGGUUGUGUGUUAGUAUUCUGAACUAAGCCACCUAGUAGUCCUUAACUUAGGGCUUAUAGAGGAUGUCACUAGCAUUAUAGUUUUUCAAAUCUGUUUUUCAAAACCAAACAAUGUGUUUAGUUGAAAAUAGGUUUUCUAAACCCAAAACUUUUGUUUUGAAAAUACGUAUGUGACCGUAUAUACUUAAUCCUGCUCCGAUACCAGCUGUCGCAGAACCUCCUAAGUUAUAGGGCCCACAUGCACCUGUCCUUGUCUUAAAGACCUCAGACGGAUAUGCAUGUGUACCAAACAACUUAACAGGAUCUGUCCGAGUGUCCCAAGGACCCCGGAUAAACGACUUACCGCCAAGAUCGCAAGAUUAAGUAAACACAAAUCACACACCAACAUUUGCAGCGGAAAUAAAUUCUUUAUUACAAAAUGAUUACGGGCAUGUUUGGUUCGUUACCUCAAUUGCCACACUUUGCCUAACUUUUCUGCCUAAGGUUAGUUAUUCAAUUCGAACGACUAACCUUAGGCAAAGUUGGCACAUUUAGCUACAAACCAAACAUGCCCUACAUGUUACAAUAAGUUUACAUUAUACAAUUAUCGGAGUGAUUACAAAAGAAAAUGAUUAAAAAGAAUUACAAUUUGAAUGUAUAAAACAUUUAUAAGUUUUAAAAUACAUGCUAGCUUAAGUGACAGUCCUCAAUAAAGAAGCUAAAGAUGUGAUAUACUUAUAUAAGAAGGCCGAGCCCACCGGCACUUAGCACCAUCCACAACAGAACAAACUUAUAAUCCUGAAAAACAACAGGGAAUAAAACCCUGAGUAUGCAAUUACUCAGCAAGACUUACCCGACUAAAGAAAAGACUCUCAAGGGUAUGCUGGUUUGUUGGGAAUCAAGGUAAAGCUCAUCAAAUUUCAAAGACUCAUUUUUGCAGAAAAGCUUACUAGUAGUGGAUCCUUAUGCCAAACUUUUACUUCACAAAUUAAGUACUUUUCCUGAAUUUAGAUUUGCCUAAUCUAGAGCAUUCACUUGUCCUACACUAAAUUCAUUUUAGCAUCUUUAGUUUCACUUGUUAUCUACGAUGAGGGUCGAAGAUCCAGUCUUCAUAUCCGAGAAGUUCGGCGAUCCGAAUCGAUUAAUACCCAGCUGGGGAUCUCCAACCACACGACAUAUGUAGCACUUAACCAUUGCAUAUGUCAACUCGCCACCGAGUUUCUCAAGACCAGAACGGGUCCCCGCCAACCGAGAGCUCAGUACCCCACCAUCCAGCCUCUUGCCAGGUGGAUACACGAUACUCUCGCCAUCUCUCCACUCCCAUUGCGGGCCGGCCUUUCUGGUAUUGGUCCAGCCGAGGCUAAGCUUACCCAUGAUGAGGCAUGUGGCCAGUUAAAGGGUCCUAGAUCAGCAGGCCAACAAUCGGAACGGUCCUUAAUCGACACAGACGGGCGACCUUUCCUGCUCAACGUCUGGUCUCAUCUUAUUAUUUAACACUCAAACCAUGUACCUGACAGAGGUACAAUACUCGAAUAAUGAAUUCAUCAUUGCGAGUGAUGCCUUCAUUAUUGCAAGUUCUUUUUCAUAAAACCCAUAUCCAGUGUUGCACAACAUUCUUUUUAAAAGAAACACUUUUAGUUUCUAAGCAGGGCUAAGCCUCAUUAGUUCUCUUUAUAAAACAGGUAUCAAGGAAUAGUAAUCGAAUUCCAAGGAAUGGCAAUCCAUCAAUUGUUUCAUCACUCAACUCCUAUCACCUAAUGCAGCAUAUAAGUGAUAAAAGUUUUAAAACAACAAGGAGGUGGCAAAUGCACCGGGGCUUGCCUGGGAUAAACACUACGUUAGUGUUGUUAAUUGACGACCACUUGGUGAGCAUCUUCCAUUCUGGUGUUGGCUUGAUGCAUCCACAAGAUUAAUCCACCAAUACCAUCUUAUGGUUCGCUCUGAUCCAUGUCCUUCAGCUCGCAUAAUCAUCUAGCGUACCUAUUGGAAAUGCAUAAUGCAUAUAAGCAUGGACAUGAAUAGCAUGAGAUAGAUAUUCUAUACUAAAGAGGGUAAACACUUAAAAAAUUUAUCACAACUCCUAUGAGCACACUAGAUGUGAAGAUAUUACUAUGUACCACAAGCGCAUCUUUUACACUUAAAUAGGCCUAACGCAAGUAUCAAGCACUCAUAACACACUUAUAAACAUAAGACAAUCGAAUCAACUCAAUAAUACUUGAUAUAAAUGUCUACUAACCUUCUUCGCAUUAUUGAGUUCAUUAUAACCACACAAGGUCUAAUUAGCUACUAGUUCCAAUACAUUCAUCAAAGUAUUAAUUCCCAAACUAAUUGGUUUAAAGCACACAUUAAGAAAGAAAAACUCAACCAUGUGCAACAAGACAUUUGGAUAAACAUUUCAAAUGUCAUAAGUCUGUUGGAUCUUUUAUGGGCCUGGCCCAUUUAUUGAAUAAACUCUAAGGUGUGUAAUGGUGGAGAAUACCAAUAGUACCACAUUGGAAGUCCAAGGGUCUUUUGCCUUGACUUAUAUGGUGGGAUUUAUUCCACUUAACUUGAGAAGUCAAGAAAUGGACAAGGGCGUGCCACACGCGCGCGCGCACGCCGCCGCCGCCGCCGGCCGGGCCGGGCGUGGCGAGGCAGGCAGGCAGGCAGGCAGGCGAGCGGGCGUGGUGUGGUUGUGUUAAUUUUUAGCACUCACUAACCGCGUUAACCUUUCAGUUGCCUGUCUCUACGUCAGCCGAGUGACCCUGUCUCUUCGUCUGCCGAGUGACCCUUCUCCUUCAGCUGCCGACUUAUGGCGUGACUCGGCAAGAGCUGGCCGACUCAUGGCAUAACUCGGCUAGAGCUGGCCGACUCUUGGCGUGACUCAGCGACCUUUCUCCUUCAGCUUCCCUCUGCGAGAGGUUAAAUAGAGGAGCACCCCUGUCACUCGGUACACGCGAGAAACACUUUCAGUCUCACAGUCCAGUCGCCCGAGUGAGGGUAUUUCCAUCUCGUGACUCUGCGCGCACAGAGAAGCGAGAGGGCAGGUGCCUCCGAAGCCAGUGCCGUUCGAGACCUUGCACGGGGGAUCGACAAUUAGGUUUUUGGGGAGCGUCUACGCGACUGCCCAAAACAUCUUCAACAUGACAAAGGAAGCUGGCCAAGGAUCUGGAUCAUCAGAGCGCAUAGGAGGGUAUGAUCAGUUUAUUUACUUACUGUUUUGUGUUCUGGAGAUUAUAUAUGUUUCAUAUAUUCAUCUAUGCUGUUUCAUAUUUAUGAAUGAUUUUAUUUUAUCUGUUAUGUCUUAUUAUAAUAUGAUAGAUCUGUCUGUUUUAAUUUUACAAUCAUGCUAUUUAUGUUUCUAUCUGUUUAUUUUCAUUUGUUCAGUCAGUAUACAUGUUUAUCGUAUUUAUAUGAUUUAUAUAAUUCACAUGCUCUAUGUUCUCUUGAUUCAUAUUGGUAUGGAUCAAUUUAAGAUCACGAUUUCUAUGGUUAAUUAUUUAUUAUAUGUCAUCAUCAUAAUGUUAAUUUAUGGAAUUAAAAUAAUACGGAAAAUGCCUAUAAUUCUAACAAUCCAAAAACCUAAUGUUAGGCAUUUUUCUGUCAGAGGUUUUGCUGCUGUGCUAAAGCCUGAUCCUUUUGAUGGUAAAAACUUCUUGAUAUGGAAAGCUAAAAUGGAAUUGUGGCUAACUGCAAUGUCUUGUUUUCAUGCCGCUGAGGGCAAGCCUGCCAACUUGCCUCCUGAGGAUGAGGCUAAGUUUAAGGCUGAAGACAACCUCUUUAGAGGAGCAGUGAUUAGCGCACUGGACACAAAAUUCCAGAAAAGCUAUAUCAUCCUUCCCACAGGGAAAGAGCUGUGGGAUGCACUUGUCGGAAAGUUUGGAGUAACUGACGCUGGUAGCGAGCUGUACCUCAUGGAGCAGCUGUAUGACUACAAGAUGGUUGAGAACCGAUCUGUAGUGGAACAGGCUCAUGAGUUUCAGGCACUAGCUAAGGAACUCGAACUUUUUCCUUGUCCUUUGCCUGACAAGUUUGUGGCUGGCGGUAUAAUUGCCAAGUUACCACCUUCUUGGAAGGACUUUGCUACCUCUCUAAAACAUAAGAGACAAGAGUUCAAUGUGGAAGAGCUCAUUGGUACUCUUGAUGUUGAGGAAAGGGCUAGAACAAAGGACAAUGGAAAAGGUGUGGAGACCUCUACUGCUAAUGUGGUGCAGAAGAGAAACUUCCGCAAGUUUAACAAGAAGAAAAACCAGAACAAACCAGAGAAUGCAAAUAAACCUGUUCAUACAGCACAAUUUAAAAAGAAGAACAACAACAACAAGGGAAAGGGAGAUUGCUUUGUCUGUGGCAGUGAUCAACAUUGGGCUAGAGAGUGCCCUGAUCGCAAGUUCACACAGGACAAGAAAUCAGCUAAUGUUGUAACCACUGAAACUGGAGAUGGAACAUCUGGGUAUGGUAAUUCUUUACCAUUUGUUCUCUCAGUUUGUAAUUCACCUGAGUGGUGGAUGGAUAGUGGUGCAAAUAUUCAUGUGUGUGCUGAUGCCUUUAUGUUCUCCUCCUACCAGGUCGGGAGGUCUGGCGCCUUGUUAAUGGGAAAUGGGUCGCGUGCUCAUGUUCUUGGUGUUGGUACGGUCAUUCUGAAGUUUACUUCGGGAAAGACGGUGCCAUUGAAGAGCGUGCAGCAUGUGCCCUCUAUCAAGAAGAAUCUCGUUAGCGCGUCUAUGCUAUGUCGAGAUGGAUACAAAGUUGUUCUUGAAUCUAAUAAAUGUGUUGUGUCUAAACAUGGUACUUUUGUUGGUAAAGGAUAUGACUGCGGAGGGUUGUUCCGCUUAUCACUGCAUGAUGUGUGUAAUAAACUCGUGAAUUCUGUUCAUUUUUCUGAUGAGUCGGAUUUAUGGCAUUCACGUUUUUGUCAUGCAAGCUUUGGCUGUCUUAUGCGGUUAGCAAAUAUAAAUUUAAUUCCUAAAUUUAACUUGGUCAAAAAGUCUAAGUGCCAUGUGUGUGUUGAAUCAAAACAACCCCGCAAGCCUCACAAGGCUGCUGAGGCGAGGAGUUUGGCACCUCUAGAACUUGUUCAUUCUGAUCUGUGCGAGAUGAAUGGAAUUUUGACCAAAGGUGGUAAAAGAUACUUUCUCACUUUUAUAGAUGACUCCACUAGAUUUUGCUAUGUGUAUCUCUUAAAAACAAAAGAUGAAGCGUUCAAUUAUUUUAAGGCCUAUAAAGCUGAAGUUGAGAACCAACUUGAGAGGAAAAUAAAACGGUUAAGGUCUGAUCGAGGUGGAGAAUAUUUCUCUAAUGUGUUCGAUGAGUUCUGCGUGGAACAUGGUAUUAUUCAUGAGAGGACACCGCCAUUCUCACCACAAUCCAAUGGGAUUGCUGAAAGGAAAAACCGCACUCUAACAGAUUUGGUGAAUGCCAUGUUGAGUACAGCGGGAUUAUCCAAGGCAUGGUGGGGUGAGGCAAUUUUGACAGCAUAUCAUGUCCUGAAUAGAGUUCUAACAAAGAACAAAGAGAUCACUCCAUUUGAGGAAUGGGAAAAGAGAAGAGUAAAUCUCUCGUAUUUGCGCACUUGGGGUUGCUUGGCUAAAGUGAAUGUGCCAAUCAACAAAAAGCAUAAACUUGGGCCUAAAACUGUUGACUGUAUAUUCCUUGGGUACUCUUUUCACAGCACUGGGUAUAGGUUCUUAAUUAUAAAAUCUGAUGUGCCUGAUAUGUAUGUUGAUACUAUCAUGGAAUCAAGAGACGCAACAUUUUUUGAGAAUGAGUUUCCCAUGAAGAAUACACCUAGUGAUACAAGUCAUGAGACUAUAAUUCCCCAUGAGCACGAACUGUCGAUUCCUAUAGAUCAUGUUGAGGAUUCUCACGUGCACAUCCCUGAGGAGGAUGACACUAUAGUCACUCGAAAGAGCAAGAGACAGAGGGUUGCAAAAUCCUUUGGUAAUGACUUUAUAGUGUACCUUGUGGAAGACACACCAACUACCAUUAGUGAGGCAUAUUCCUCUCCUGAUGCUGACUUAUGGAAGGAAGCAGUAAGGAGUGAGAUGGAAUCUAUUAUGUCUAAUGGAACUUGGGAGGUCGUUGACUGUCCUUAUGGCUGUCAACCUAUAGGUUGCAGAUGGAUCUUCAAGAAAAAGCUUAGGCCUGAUGGUACAAUCGAGAGGUACAAGGCAAGGCUUGUGGCCAAAGGAUAUACCCAAAAGGAGGGUGAAGAUUUCUUUGAUACCUACUCACCAGUGGCUCGGUUGACUACAAUUCGCACAUUAAUAGCCGUGGCAGCCUCUUAUGGUCUUAUCAUUCAUCAGAUGGAUGUUAAGACAACUUUCCUAAAUGGAGAGUUGGAUGAGGAGAUCUAUAUGGAUCAGCCAGAAGGGUUCAUUGCGGAUGGUCAAGAGAACAAGGUAUGCAGGUUGAUAAAAUCAUUGUAUGGCCUAAAACAAGCACCUAAGCAAUGGCAUGAAAAGUUUGAUAAUACUCUUACAGCAGCUGGCUUUGUUGUAAAUGAAUCUGACACGUGUGUAUACUAUCGGUAUGGUGGGGGUGAGUCUGUUAUGCUGUGCCUUUAUGUUGAUGACAUUUUGAUCUUUGGAUCAAAUCUCAAUGUGAUUGAGGAAGUUAAAAAUCUUCUAUCGAGCAAUUUCGAGAUGAAAGAUUUGGGAGAGGCUGAUGUCAUUCUAAACAUCAAGCUUGUUAGAGAAGCUGAUGGUGGGGUAACUUUGUUACAAUCCCAUUAUGUGGAAAAGGUAUUGAGUUGCUUUGGUUUUAGUGACUGUGAUCCUGCUCCAACACCUUAUGACCCCAGUGUGCUAUUAAGAAAGAAUCGGAGAAUAGCAAGGGAUCAAUUGACAUACUCCCAGAUCAUUAGCUCGCUCAUGUACCUUGCAAGUGCAACAAGGCCAGACAUCUCUUAUGCUGUGAGUAAGCUAAGUCGGUUUGUGUCGAAACCAGGAGAUGAUCACUGGCGUGCUCUUGAGAGAGUGUUGCGGUAUUUGAAAGGUACUAUGACAUACGGUAUUCAUUAUACCGGAAACCCAAAAGUGCUGGAAGGCUAUUGUGAUGCCAACUGGAUUUUUGAUGCUGAUGAGCUUUAUGCCACAAGCGGAUAUGUGUUUCUGUUUGGAGGUGGCGCUGUUUCCUGGAAGUCUUGCAAGCAGACUAUCUUAACGAAGUCUACAAUGGAAGCAGAACUCGCAGCAUUAGACACUGCUGGGGCUGAGGCCGAGUGGCUUCGUGAUUUCCUAUUGGACUUACCGGUAGUUGAAAAACCGAUACCAGCUAUUUCCAUGAACUGUGACAACCAAACGGUGAUUACAAAGGUUAACAGUUCUAGGAAUAACAUGAAGUCUACAAGGCAUGUUAAGAGGAGAUUGAAAUCUGUCAGAAAGUUGAAAAACUCCGGAGUUAUAACUGUGGAUUAUGUCCACACAUCAAAUAAUCUGGCAGAUCAAUUCACUAAGGGUCUAUCACGCAAUGUGAUAAAAAGUGCAUCGAGGGAAAUGGGUAUGAGACCCAUGUGAGAUCUACUCUAGUGGUAACCUGCUCUAUGUGAUCGGAGAUCCCGUGAAGUAGAGUGGAGAAACAAGCUAGGAGUAGAUUGUGAGGAAAGAUCCCUUCUUUAACUCAUUUCUGAUGCACAUCUUUCCUAUCUGUAAGGCAGGAUGAUUUUUACCUUAAUGUAUUCCAAGAGUCUUAUAAAGGCGAGAUGUUGUCCUACAGAACAUCUUUUGAGGAAUACACCUAUAUGAGUCAGACUGCUGGUCACAGUCUAUGGGACUUGGUUAAUCCCUAAAUACUCAUGAAAGGCACUGAAGUGUGACUUAUAUGCUUCUAAAAAGCGGGAAUACCCUUUUGCAGCCUAGUAUCAGCAAAGGAUUUGAGUGAAUCUUAUUUCGCACAAAACUGUCAAUUCAAGGCAUAGUCCAUUGUUCAGUUGUGAAUGAGUGAAACUCUUAUUCUAGAUGGAUGUUCAACUUAACAGUCUCCAUCGGAAAACUGGUAUAUCAAAGGAUUGUGAUUCUGAUACUUCAUCAUUACAAACCCUAGAGUUUGGUGGGGAUUGUUGGAUCUUUUAUGGGCCUGGCCCAUUUAUUGAAUAAACUCUAAGGUGUGUAAUGGUGGAGAAUACCAAUAGUACCACAUUGGAAGUACAAGGGUCUUUUGCCUUGACUUAUAUGGUGGGAUUUAUUCCACUUAACUUGAGAAGUCAAGAAAUGGACAAGGGCGUGCCACACGCGCGCGCGCACGCCGCCGCCGCCGCCGGCCGGGCCAGGCCGGACGUGGCGUGGCGAGGCAGGCAGGCAGGCAGGCAGGCGAGCGGGCAUGGUGUGGUUGUGUUAAUUUUUAGCACUCACUAACCGCGUUAACCUUUCAGUUGCCUGUCUCUACGUCAGCCGAGUGACCCUGUCUCUUCGUCUGCCGAGUGACCCUUCUCCUUCAGCUGCCGACUUAUGGCGUGACUCGGCAAGAGCUGGCCGACUCAUGGCAUAACUCGGCUAGAGCUGGCCGACUCUUGGCGUGACUCAGCGACCUUUCUCCUUCAGCUUCCCUCUGCGAGAGGUUAAAUAGAGGAGCACCCCUGUCACUCGGCACACGCGAGAAACACUUUCAGUCUCACAGUCCAGUCGCCCGAGUGAGGGUAUUUCCAUCUCGUGACUCUGCGCGCACAGAGAAGCGAGAGGGCAGGUGCCUCCGAAGCCAGUGCCGUUCGAGACCUUGCACGGGGGAUCGACAAUUAGGUUUUUGGGGAGCGUCUACGCGACUGCCCAAAACAUCUUCAACAUGACAAAGGAAGCUAGCCAAGGAUCUGGAUCAUCAGAGCGCAUAGGAGGGUAUGAUAAGUUUAUUUACUUACUGUUUUGUGUUCUGGAGAUUAUAUAUGUUUCAUAUAUUCAUCUAUGCUGUUUCAUAUUUAUGAAUGAUUUUAUUUUAUCUGUUAUGUCUUAUUAUAAUAUGAUAGAUCUGUCUAUUUUAAUUUUACAAUCAUGCUAUUUAUGUUUCUAUCUGUUUAUUUUUAUUUGUUCAGUCAGUAUACAUGUUUAUCGUAUUUAUAUGAUUUAUAUAAUUCACAUGCUCUAUGUUCUCUUGAUUCAUAUUGGUAUGGAUCAAUUUAAGAUCACGAUUUCUAUGGUUAAUUAUUUAUUAUAUGUCAUCAUCAUAAUGUUAAUUUAUGGAAUUAAAAUAAUACAGAAAAUGCCUAUAAUUCUAACAAAGUCUUCAUCACUCAAGAAUCAAAAAUUGAUUACUCCUACAUAGCCAAACAGGAAUCAAACCAAAUACCCCAUUGCAGAUUUUCUGGACAGCAUUCAGCAGUCAACGGUUUUACUCAUAACUCACAAGAUAUUCAUCCAAAAAUAGUGAACUAAGACUUUCUAGAAAGCUUAUGAAAUCCCCUAUAAUUUUUGUAUUAUCAGCAUAACAUGAUUCGGCAUUUUGAAAGGUCAAUCAGUGCUAAACGUAAAUUCUGUCUAGAUUUGGACAUAAUUCGACUACUCACUUCAAAAAUCCAUAACUGGAGAUUUAGACGUCCAAAACAUGUGAUCCUAGACUUUUUAGAAAGCUAAUAAAAUUGUCUACAACUCAUUUAUAAUCAUCUCCAGUUAAUUCAAUGCGUAGAAAGGUCAGUUAACACAAACAGUCUCUUCUGUCCAGAUUUGGACAGAUUCAGACUUCAUAUUUCAAACAGCCAUAACUUGACUUCUAGACCACCAAAAAGGGUGCUCCAAAAUUUGUUGGAAAGCUUAAGAAAAGUACUACAAUUCUCCUAUAAUUAAUAAGAGCUGAUUCUCAAUUUAACUUAGCCAAACAAUCUAAUUUCCGGAACCUGUACAGAAUUUAGACAGAUUCUAAAACUGGACCUGGAAAAAUCAUAACUCUCAAACUACUAGACCUAUGACCAUGAUAUUUUUAUACCAGUAAGAUGAAGAAGUUAUCUACAUCUUUUAUAUAUAACACAUUCACAGAAAACUUGGUUUACUUUACUAAACUAACUACUUACGUAAAACUGGUCAUGCAGCAUUAAACAACAAGCAUCAC